RNAcentral lists this ribosomal RNA (472 nucleotides) under uncultured Sulfuricurvum sp. RNAcentral describes it as "bacterial SSU rRNA". It matches the Rfam family "Bacterial small subunit ribosomal RNA", at positions 916 to 1381 of the family's 1533-position model. The record is from RNAcentral. Lineage: Bacteria; Pseudomonadati; Campylobacterota; Epsilonproteobacteria; Campylobacterales; Sulfurimonadaceae.
ACGGGACCCGCACAAGUGGUGGAGCAUGUGGUUUAAUUCGAAGAUACACGAAGAACCUUACCUGGCCUUGACAUGGUAGGAACCCUGUAGAGAUACGGGGGUGCUAGCUUGCUAGAGCCUACACACAGGUGCUGCACGGCUGUCGUCAGCUCGUGUCGUGAGAUGUUGGGUUAAGUCCCGCAACGAGCGCAACCCUCGUCCUUAGUUGCUAACGGUUCGGCCGAGCACUCUAGGGAGACUGCCUUCGCAAGGAGGAGGAAGGUGAGGACGACGUCAAGUCAUCAUGGCCCUUACGGCCAGGGCUACACACGUGCUACAAUGGGGCGUACAGAGAGCUGCGGUACCGCGAGGUGGAGCCAAUCUCUUAAAGCGUCUCUCAGUUCGGAUUGGAGUCUGCAACUCGACUCCAUGAAGUUGGAAUCGCUAGUAAUCGCGGAUCAGCCAUGCCGCGGUGAAUACGUUCCCGGGCCUU